RNAcentral lists this ribosomal RNA (497 nucleotides) under uncultured bacterium. Its description in RNAcentral is "partial 16S ribosomal RNA". It matches the Rfam family "Bacterial small subunit ribosomal RNA", at positions 28 to 507 of the family's 1533-position model. The record is from RNAcentral.
GACGAACGCUGGCGGCGUGCCUAAUACAUGCAAGUUGAGCGAUGAAGAUUGGUGCUUGCACCAAUUUGAAAAGCAGCGAACGGGUGAGUAACGCGUGGGGAAUCUGCCUUUGAGCGGGGGACAACAUUUGGAAACGAAUGCUAAUACCGCAUAACAACUUUAAACAUAAGUUUUAAGUUUGAAAGAUGCAAUUGCAUCACUCAAAGAUGAUCCCGCGUUGUAUUAGCUAGUUGGUGAGGUAAAGGCUCACCAAGGCGAUGAUACAUAGCCGACCUGAGAGGGUGAUCGGCCACAUUGGGACUGAGACACGGCCCAAACUCCUACGGGAGGCAGCAGUAGGGAAUCUUCGGCAAUGGACGAAAGUCUGACCGAGCAACGCCGCGUGAGUGAAGAAGGUUUUCGGAUCGUAAAACUCUGUUGGUAGAGAAGAACGUUGGUGAGAGUGGAAAGCUCAUCAAGUGACGGUAACUACCCAGAAAGGGACGGCUAACUACGUG